AACGCAAAUGGCACUCUAUGGUAUUCCGUAGAGUACGUCUGUUUGAGCGUCGCGAACAUCUCCAUAAUUAGUUUUUUUAAAAUUAAUUAAGGGUUUUGAGGUUGUCAUUGUAUUAUGACUCCCUUUAAAAUAAUUAGUGAUGACCUUAUGAAUGGGUUAAUACUGUGUGUUAUAAUGGAUUACAUCCAUCACCAGUCAGAGAGUAAUCUCGCCUUAGUAAUUUGUAGUGAUUGCUUCUAAUCGCCUUUAUUGGCAAAUUAAAUGAUCAAAUCGACCUCAAAUCAGAUGGGAUUACCCGCUGAACUUAA
This 308-nucleotide unclassified non-coding RNA is filed under the name uncultured fungus. RNAcentral describes it as "partial contains 5.8S ribosomal RNA, internal transcribed spacer 2, and large subunit ribosomal RNA". The record is from RNAcentral. Lineage: Eukaryota; Fungi. RNAcentral also lists the same sequence under 2 other names.